CGCGUAGGCGGUUUGUACAGUCAGACGUGAAAUUCCUGGGCUCAACCUGGGGGCUGCGUUUGAUACGUGCAGACUUGAGUUCGGAAGAGGGUCGUGGAAUUCCCAGUGUAGAGGUGAAAUUCGUAGAUAUUGGGAAGAACACCGGUGGCGAAGGCGGCGACCUGGUCCGAUACUGACGCUGAGGCGCGAAAGCGUGGGGAGCAAACAGGAUUAGAUACCCUGGUAGUCCACGCCGUAAACGAUGUGCGCUGGAUGUUGGGUGACCUAGUCACUCAGUGUCGUAGCCAACGCGAUAAGCGCACCGCCUGGGGAGUACGGCCGCAAGGUUGAA
RNAcentral lists this ribosomal RNA (331 nucleotides) under uncultured bacterium. RNAcentral describes it as "bacterial SSU rRNA". It matches the Rfam family "Bacterial small subunit ribosomal RNA", at positions 568 to 898 of the family's 1533-position model. The record is from RNAcentral.